CUAGGAUUCUAUCCUUUUUUCUACUCGAGUUACUUUUCUCUAGGCUACAGGAAUCCAUAUUGAGUAAUAAGGGAGUUCCUUGUGUUCUAUGCAGAAGUUCUCUUGGAAAUUUUUUUAAGCAGUUAAAUACCAUUCUCUCUUAAUUAAACUGUUAAGCUCCUCCAUCUUGUAGUCUUGCAAGUUUCUUUAGAUCCCAUAGGAUUCCGGGAAGAACUUAGGUUCCAAUUGUGAUACUUUUGAGAAUAAAGUAUGGCCUUAUCAUUGGUAGAAUCAAUAAGGGUUUGAGAUUGGUGUCUUAUCUAUCAUUAAUGCUCCAAAGAAUUGGAAUUUAUGAAAAGGAGUUGUUGCAAUGGCAAAACAACAUAAUGACAGUGGUUAAAGGCAAGAAGGUCGAUGAAAGCUGUGGAUAUAUUAGGAGCAAGGGAUAUCCCCUUUGGUAUUCUGUGUAGAGACUAGAAAUAGCGUUGAAACAACAAAAUGACAGUGGUUGAAGGCAGGAAAGUUGAUGAAGUUGUGGGUAGAUGUGGAUAAAGGAUAACCCCAUUCUUUGUGUUGAGACCAGAAAUAGAGUUGAAUCUCUUGUGUUGAGAGUUGAGACCAGAAAUAGAGUUGAAUUUCGAGAACUUUCACAUGUUCUUGGUUUAUGUUUCUCGGAAUCCGAGCUUCUAUUAGAUAAACUAACUUGUUUCUCACGGUGAUGCAGGCAUUGCAAGGCAAGACAGUCAGCCAUUGUCAAGGAUAAAAGAGAUAAGCAGCAAAAGGACAAACGCCUUAUCUUGACGAUGGAUGAUCUUUCAAAAUCUCUACGAGAGUAUGGUGUGAAUGUCAAACAUCAAGAAUACUUUGCUGAUAGCCCGUCUGCUGGGUUAGAUCCUGCUUCAAGAGAGGAAUGAUGUAUUGC
This is a non-coding RNA of Nicotiana tabacum (common tobacco), 901 nucleotides long. The record is from RefSeq and is a predicted model, not a curated record. Lineage: Eukaryota; Viridiplantae; Streptophyta; Magnoliopsida; Solanales; Solanaceae.